CCUACGGGGUGCAGCAGUGGGGAAUAUUGGACAAUGGGGGGAACCCUGAUCCAGCCAUGCCGCGUGUGUGAAGAAGGCCCUCGGGUUGUAAAGCACUUUCAGUGAGGAAGAACGCCUGGUGGUUAAUACCCAUCAGGAAAGACAUCACUCACAGAAGAAGCACCGGCUAACUCCGUGCCAGCAGCCGCGGUAAUACGGAGGGUGCGAGCGUUAAUCGGAAUUACUGGGCGUAAAGCGCGCGUAGGUGGCUUGAUAAGCCGGUUGUGAAAGCCCCGGGCUCAACCUGGGAACGGCAUCCGGAACUGUCAAGCUAGAGUGCAGGAGAGGAAGGUAGAAUUCCCGGUGUAGCGGGGAAAUGCGUAGAGAUCGGGAGGAAUACCAGUGGCGAAGGCGGCCCUCUGGACUGACACUGACACUGAGGUGCGAAAGCGUGGGUAGCAAACAGGAUUAGAUACCCGUGUAGUC
RNAcentral lists this ribosomal RNA (465 nucleotides) under Vreelandella stevensii. RNAcentral describes it as "partial 16S ribosomal RNA". It matches the Rfam family "Bacterial small subunit ribosomal RNA", at positions 338 to 795 of the family's 1533-position model. The record is from RNAcentral. Lineage: Bacteria; Pseudomonadati; Pseudomonadota; Gammaproteobacteria; Oceanospirillales; Halomonadaceae.